AACACAUACCUUUUUGACGUUAAACUCUUGACUUGCUGCACAAAAAAUUCACCCAAGAACGCGUCUAAACCUCCUCAAUAUCAACUCCACUCGAAUGACAACCUCCCUUAUCCUAGUGUGCGAUCAAUGUUUGUUUUCUUGUGAUUUUGUAUGAGUUAUUCAAGUGUGAAGAACUUGGUUUAUUUUUCAGCUUUUGUAUCUUAUUUUGGUAGAGAAUUUUCGUGUGAAAUAAGAAGGGAGAUUGAGCUCGAGAGUUGAAAGAUAGACGUGAGAGAGUAGGAGUUAUAUUAGGCUUAGGAGUCUAGUUUAGGACUUAGUCAAAUAAGGUUUACUUAAUUAUUAAAAAUCUGAUUUUUAUUUUAUUUUAAAUCAGCUAAUAAAUAAUAAUUAUUAAUUAAUUAUAUUAAUUCAAUAGCUUAAAUAAAAAUCACAUUAAUUAAUUGCUUCCACGUAAGUUCGAACCCGGGUGAAGCAAGACUUCACUUCAACAGCUCAAUUUCGGCUCUCUCUCUCCAAAUUGCCCCUCCACUUAUUAAUUAAAUAAUUUAUUAUAUUUAGGGUAAUUACGAUGUUACCCCUAGACUGGAAAAAGAUCAUUUUACCCCUAGACCCUCCAAAACCUAAGAUUUCCUCUUUUUAAGUCCGUAAAGACUCCCUCGAGUAAAUCUUCGUAUUCGAGAACCCUACAUGGUUGGACCCAACCUUCCUAGAUCAACUAACUCCCAAGUUAGUUGGUUUGGAUGUAGCAAGCGUUUCGAAGUCUGAUUUUAUGCGCAUCAAUCCGUGUGAACCCUGGUCUAAUCACAGGCAUUCUUUGACACAUUAAGUAUCACUUAGUAUAUCCAUUUUUAGGGUUUGUUACAAGAACGAUCUUAGAACAGCAACAAUUUCCACAGUAUCGGACGGCAACGAGAAGACUCGAAAACUCUGUCGAGUCUCAAACGGAAAAUUGAAGAUACAGAAUGUAAAUGAGUCAAAAAUGGGAAGCUUCGACCAAAACUAUAUUGUUAUUCCUUCGAACGUAAUUGAUAUUUGUGUAUAUAUAUAUUCUCUGUUUCGUAUGUGGUUUAUUUUGUGUUUCAUGCUCGCCAGAAAGCUUCAAAUCCUUCAAUUCCUCUUCUCUUUCUCUGUAUUUCUUUACUCUGAAAAAAUCACAAACUCAAGGAAAGUUUUUUUUUUUCUCUCUCCUCUUCUUUCUUCAAAGCGAUUAUAUAUAGCAAGAGAAUAGGGUUUUCGAAUUUUGGGGGGGGGGGGGGGGAUGGUAGAAUCGACAAAUCGAGCCCCAAAAUUCAAAAUCACCUCCCCAAGGACCAAGGAAAGCUACCUCUUUGUACCAAUAAUGGCCAAAUCCCCCAAAAUCCGAUGACCAAGGAUUGACAGAUCCCAACGGGAUGGCUAAGGAUUGCAAUCUACAAAGCAGAUCGGGUCUUCUCUCCUGUUCUUCCAUCGUACUCGUUGUUCACGCCCAUCCAAGGACCAGACAAGAAGAUGGAAGACAAGGAGAAGGACAAAAGAAAGGGGAAAGAUACGGGUGAAAGCGACGCAGCGCUAGCUUCUUACGUACCGCAGGUUCACGCCCUUGGUACGAAUCUAGAUAGAGGAAAAGAAAUUGGAGAAGGAAAUGCUCUAUAACGCGUUGGAUUUCUCAUCACCGAUUCCGAAGGGAAAGAGGAACAGGGGUCGGGUUCUGAUAUUUUGGAUUGGAAUGGAGGCUAAUGGGAUAAUUAUUGGACAGGUUGGGCUUACUGAAUUGAGAAAAAGGAAAAACGGUUGGGUCAAGGGAGUUGGGCAGAUAAAAGAAAAAUGCACGCUGGGCUCGGCAUUUUGAAUUAGAUUUAGCUGAACAAAAAAUAAAAGCUGAGUCACAGGAUUGUUGUUGUAAUUAUAUUAGGUUGGGAAUCGAAUAAAAAGGUUUGGGCUUGAAGUAGUGGGCUGCUACACAAAAAGAGAUGGAGUCCAAAAUUUGGUCUUAUACAACUAAAUGGAUUGUUAAUUUAACCAAAUUGGAACUUUAUUAUAAAUCUGGCGAAACAUAGAUUGGACAAGCUCUUAGUAAUUAAUUAACGAGUUUCUUAAUUUUGACGAAAUAAAAUAAUUAAUUUAGUCAAAUAAUUUAAAAUAAACUAUUAUUAAACAAUUAAGCUAAUUAACCAAAUAUUUAGCAGAAUUUUUUUGAGACGGUUUUCGAGUGUACAUAUAAUUACGUAAAUUGUAUAUAUUAACUAAAAAUUUAUGAUGAGUGAUGAGAUUAAUUUAAAAUAACUUAAAAUACCUUAAAUCUUAUUAUUUCAAAUCGUUAGAAUCAAGAAGCUCGUUAAUUAAUUCAUAUCGUUAAUAAAUAAUGAGGCGUGAGCCAUAACACGACAUUAAUACUUCAAACUUAUGAGUGUCCACAUAUAUCUAACUUCAUUUCUGACAUAUCGAUAUCUUACAAUAUAACAAUCACUUACCAACUCUGCAAUAAUUAAGUAGUCACACAAUCAAUAAAUCAUAUCCUUACUGAUCUCUCACAAUAUAAUCUUUGAUCUCAUCAGUUUCAACUAUUUCAUCACUCGCCCACACAAUUGCUCAUCUAUACACAUGCUAUAGAGUUGUUAAUUUUGCUCAUCUAGUAAUAAAUUAUGGGGAAUCAAGUGUCUUUGUAUCAUAUCGAAAUGGUACUCGAUUCCACACAUAAUCACUCACAUCAGGCUCAACCACUCAUCAUCAAAAUAAUAUAUAUAUAUCCAAUCACAUAAUCAUGUAUCUUAUCAAUGUUAAGCCACAUAGGAUUUUAAAAUGUCACAUUGAAAAUGUUUAAAAUAGAGGUAUAUGUGAUGAGUAUCUUAUCAACGAGAUUAUAAAUAGCUCUAUAAUAAACGAAGAACGAACUUAACUAAUAAAUUAAAAUUAAAAUGGUAUUUUUCAACUCCUUUUCCUAAUUUUUUUUUUAAAAAAAAAACUAUAAUUCAAAAUUCAUUCACUUGUGCACUAGUUGGUCUUCUUGGAAAACUGUCCUGGAGCUCUUGUUCACAUGUUGGUCAUUCUAAAAUGUUUUAUUUUGGAGGAAGCAUCUCUUGACAGUAUUCUGUAAUUCAAUCAUACAGUGAACAACCUUUUCAGAUAUUCUAAAAGGGAAAAUAGACUAUAUAUAUAUAUAUAUAUAUUGAGGAAAAGUAAUAAAUGUGUUAAUGUGAGCUAAUAAUAAGAGAUAUUAAUGCUUGGAAGGGUUCCCGUUAAAAGAAUCAACAUUGCCUAUUCAUUUUAAAUAUCAUAAAAGUCAAAAUAGCUCAAUUUUACAUUAAAAUAUUUUUUAUAAAUCUUGGUGUUUAAACCAGCUUGCGCACACCUCAACUAAUUUCAACAUACCUCGUAAAUAUCAAAUAACUCUAAUCAUCAAGAAAGAUAAGAAGGAAUCAUCUAAUCUUUGUUUCGAUGAAAUUGAACUUGAACCUCAUGAUUAUUAACCAACUACAUAUACAUUAAUCACUUAGUCACACCGUUAAAAGCACAAUUAAAAAUUAAUAAUACACUAUGAAUAACAAAAAAAAAGCAAAAUAUGUGAGACGAAAUAAAAGUGGUAACAUUAUCCAUAUGAAUUGGAUAUGGUACCAUGUGGCAGCGUGUCAGUGGAUGGAGCAAUGUCGUGUGGUAGUUAGGUUGAUCUUUUGUCCAGGAAAAAGAUAUCCCAUUAACUCAAAGCCUCUCAAAUCCUACUUCUGCUUUUGCUCUUUACAUUAAUUUUCAUCAUUCCUCUGCAGCAGAAGAACAAGUUCAGACAAAGAAACACAAAAAAAAAGCAUGGCAAGUAGCAGCAUGGCUUCUGCUGCAUCUGGUUUUAUGGUGGCAACCCCUAAUGUCACCUCUAACUCUGCUCCAAAGAGCUCUAUGUUAUCUUUCUCCUCCAAGAACACCACCACCAACAUCCCCAGGCUCGUUGUACGGGCCGCGGAAGAAGCUGCACCACCAGCUCCUACUGCCACCGCUGAAGGCGAAGCUCCUCCUGCCAAAGCUGUCAAGCCACCUCCAAUUGGACCCAAGAGAGGAACCAAAGUAAGUUGUUCAAUAAAAGAAAUAAGACCAACUUAUCUCUUAUAUAGUAUGUAUUCACACUGAUGAUUCAAGAUUUAAAAGCAGUAAAAGUAUAUAGACACAUAUAUAUAGAUGCUACUUCAACAUUUAAGAUUGGAUUCUAACAUACAGGUUGUUAUCACAAAAACUCAAUCUACUUAAGAAAUUAUGGGCUCAAAAAAAAACAGCACACUUGUGUAUAAAUAUCAUUAAUUUUUAUCCAAGUAUUAUAGUUUAAGUCUGUUAUAGUAGGCAUUUGUACAUCCACAGUCUCUUAUGGUGGUGUCCUCAGCUCAGGCUGUUCAUUACCAAUUGAUUCUUAAAAUGUUCUGAAUACAGGUGAGAAUUUUAAGAAAGGAGUCCUACUGGUACAAGGGUACCGGCUCAGUUGUAGCAGUUGAUCAGGUAAGGGAAUUGAUUGGAAUCCAUGUUCUUUGUCACUUGUGAGAGUUGAAAUUUAAUACCUUUUGAUGUUAUUGUUAAUGGUGAUGUUGCAGGAUCCAAAAACACGCUAUCCAGUUGUAGUGAGGUUCAACAAAGUGAACUAUGCUAAUGUAUCCACUAACAACUACGCAUUGGACGAAGUUGAAGAAGUGAAAUGAAGGAGUGGAAGUAAUUAGUUCAAGGUUUUCCAUAUUUGUAAUUUGUCCAGCCCGUGUGCUUUCCAUGUUUUAUCUCUAGUUAUAUACUGGCUUUGAAUGUGAAUGUGUAUCAUAAUUUUCUGGCAACUUUCUCCCCCCAUUUCUUAUUUAGCGUGUUGCCAUUACUCGAUCCCGUUCGUACGAUCUUGCGAACAUCAUGUUGGAGAGGUUUGUGUCUGUAUGACGGGUCUACACCUUAAGGUAGACUAUCUAAUUAAGGACAUAAAGAAUGAUCAGAACCCCCAAAAUACUAACAUAUUUGCUGUGCUUUUUGGUAACUAAGUGUGAAUCAUAUGCUACCUUGUAUAGAUAACAGUUAUAUGGCUAAAACAGCACAAAUUAAAUCAUGGUUCAGAACUCAAAGAGAGGAAAGAGUUUUUACCUCAAUGCAGUAACAGGGCACGGGAUCCAUUCACCGUUCUAUUCCUGUCUUUUGGCUUACACUUUAAUUGAUCUCUCUUGUUUCCAUUCCAUUGUGAGAUGAUAGUGAUCAAAGUAGC
Molecule: long non-coding RNA, 5191 nt
Filed under: Solanum lycopersicum (tomato)
Lineage: Eukaryota; Viridiplantae; Streptophyta; Magnoliopsida; Solanales; Solanaceae
Description: long non-coding RNA (SLYC_LNC000686)
Source: RNAcentral